GACAGAGGGUGCAAACGUUGCUCGGAAUCACUGGGCGUAAAGGGCGUGUAGGCGGGAAGGAAAGUCAGAUGUGAAAUCCCCAGGCCCAACCUGGGAACUGCAUUUGAUACUGGGGAUCUUGAGUCCGGGAGAGGUGAGUGGAACUGCGAGUGUAGAGGUGAAAUUCGUAGAUAUUCGCAAGAACACCAGUGGCGAAGGCGGCUCACUGGCCCGGUACUGACGCUGAGGUGCGAAAGCGUGGGGAGCAAACAGG
This 253-nucleotide ribosomal RNA is filed under the name uncultured bacterium. Its description in RNAcentral is "partial 16S ribosomal RNA". It matches the Rfam family "Bacterial small subunit ribosomal RNA", at positions 524 to 776 of the family's 1533-position model. The record is from RNAcentral.